AACGUAGGGCCCGAGCGUUGUCCGGAAUCACUGGGUGUAAAGGGUGCGUAGGUGGUUUCUUAAGUCAGAGGUGAAAGGCUACGGCUCAACCGUAGUAAGCCUUUGAAACUGGGAAACUUGAGUGCAGGAGAGGAGAGUGGAAUUCCUAGUGUAGCGGUGAAAUGCGUAGAUAUUAGGAGGAACACCAGUUGCGAAGGCGGCUCUCUGGACUGUAACUGACACUGAGGAACGAAAGCGUGGGGAGCAAACAGG
Molecule: ribosomal RNA, 252 nt
Filed under: uncultured bacterium
Lineage: Bacteria
Description: partial 16S ribosomal RNA
Rfam family: Bacterial small subunit ribosomal RNA
Source: RNAcentral